GGUUCCAUAGUGGGGCGGUUGGCGCGUCUGCUUUACAUGCAGAAGGUCCUGGGUUCGCGCCCCAGUGGAGCCA
Molecule: transfer RNA, 73 nt
Filed under: Pteropus alecto (black flying fox)
Lineage: Eukaryota; Metazoa; Chordata; Mammalia; Chiroptera; Pteropodidae
Rfam family: tRNA
About the family: Transfer RNA (tRNA) molecules are approximately 80 nucleotides in length.
Source: Rfam by way of RNAcentral